GAUGAACGCUGGCGGCGUGCCUAAUACAUGCAAGUCGAGCGAACAGACAAGGAGCUUGCUCCUCUGACGUUAGCGGCGGACGGGUGAGUAACACGUGGAUAACCUACCUAUAAGACUGGGAUAACUUCGGGAAACCGGAGCUAAUACCGGAUAAUAUUUUGAACCGCAUGGUUCUAUAGUGAAAGACGGUUUUGCUGUCACUUAUAGAUGGAUCCGCGCCGCAUUAGCUAGUUGGUAAGGUAACGGCUUACCAAGGCGACGAUGCGUAGCCGACCUGAGAGGGUGAUCGGCCACACUGGAACUGAGACACGGUCCAGACUCCUACGGGAGGCAGCAGUAGGGAAUCUUCCGCAAUGGGCGAAAGCCUGACGGAGCAACGCCGCGUGAGUGAUGAAGGUCUUCGGAUCGUAAAACUCUGUUAUUAGGGAAGAACAAAUGUGUAAGUAACUGUGCACGUCUUGACGGUACCUAAUCAGAAAGCCACGGCUAACUACGUG
This 497-nucleotide ribosomal RNA is filed under the name uncultured bacterium. RNAcentral describes it as "partial 16S ribosomal RNA". It matches the Rfam family "Bacterial small subunit ribosomal RNA", at positions 28 to 507 of the family's 1533-position model. The record is from RNAcentral.